GCCGGGCUAGCUCAGCGGUAGAGCGCUGCCCUGAAGAGGCAGGCGUGUCCAGUUCGACUCUGGAGCCCGGCA
This 72-nucleotide transfer RNA is filed under the name Candidatus Sungbacteria bacterium RIFCSPHIGHO2_02_FULL_47_11. RNAcentral's name for it is "tRNA-Phe". It matches the Rfam family "tRNA". Rfam says of the family: Transfer RNA (tRNA) molecules are approximately 80 nucleotides in length. Their secondary structure includes four short double-helical elements and three loops (D, anti-codon, and T loops). Further hydrogen bonds mediate the characteristic L-shaped molecular structure. tRNAs have two regions of fundamental functional importance: the anti-codon, which is responsible for specific mRNA codon recognition, and the 3' end, to which the tRNAs corresponding amino acid is attached (by aminoacyl-tRNA synthetases). tRNAs cope with the degeneracy of the genetic code in two manners: having more than one tRNA (with a specific anti-codon) for a particular amino acid; and 'wobble' base-pairing, i.e. permitting non-standard base-pairing at the 3rd anti-codon position. Lineage: Bacteria; Candidatus Sungiibacteriota. The record is from RNAcentral.